Long non-coding RNA from Chelonia mydas (Green sea turtle), 1477 nucleotides. RefSeq lists it as uncharacterized. Lineage: Eukaryota; Metazoa; Chordata; Testudines; Cheloniidae. The transcript is spliced from 3 exons. The record is from RefSeq and is a predicted model, not a curated record.
GGAGAAGGGCCUAGCUUGGCAACUCCCCAGGCUGAGGCCUUGGAUAAAGCCCCAAGCAGCUCAGGCUGCGAAAGUGUCCUCCCGCAGAAAGAAAGAGUGUUCCGCUGGGACCCUAACGGAAAAGCAAAAAUUGUCAGGAACGGCUGAAGGAAUGAAAGAGAGUCUCCUUGGUUCCUCUGCACCAAAAGUACAGGCACAAGAUGGAGUCCUGUGUCACAUCAGCUGAUCACAUGCCUCUGCAUGUUUCAGUGAGUCACAGGAGGGACCAUAAAUUGUAUUCUAGCCAGAAUGUCCCCAGUUGGAGUUCAUUUUUGAAAAUAUGUUUGGCUUCAUUGUGAGGGCUGAGAAUGAUCCUUGCAGGCAGGAGGAUCCCCAGCCGGCCUUGCACCGAUCCCUGAAACGCAGGGGGAAGUCACAGAAGUUGCGAGCCCACCAGUAGACCAGGAUGUUCUGCCUCCCGGUUACCCUCCACUCCUCCAAAACAGCCCUCAUGGCCCAGACGAUGAGAUGGAAGCCUCCCCAGUGCUGGAGAGGGAGCUUCACCUUAUGUUUGAAAUCACAGGUGUCCACCAGAAAAUGGUGAAGCUCAUCCCGCAGCACGGUGGGGGACAGGGUUGCGGACCCAUGAUCAUCAUCUCGCUGGGCCCCUGUUACCACCCUGUGACCGAUGGAGAUGGGCAAAGAGGGGGCAGACCACUGGUGCGGCGAUUGUAACUGUGGCUCUGUGCAACCCGUCUCUGUGCCCGGAAAGUGAUAGGGAGGGAUACGGAGGGAAGAGAGCAGCUCCUAAAGAGUCAGGGAAGGGAGACAAAAAAAAACACCCCCUGAGGUUAGUCCAAGGACAGGGGAAAUGACACAACCCCUGAGUGGCAGCAGUAUAGAAGAUGAAAGGAAAGAAAUGAGGAAUGUGACAGGGGCAGGAGUGGGGCUGGGGCCAGGAACGGGAUUAGGAGCAGGGGCAGAAGUUUGACUGGGAAGCCCAGCAGCAAAGCCAAAGGGAUGUGACACCUCUUGACUGGGUCCAGGGUCUGAGGGGAUGGUAACAGGAGGGGAGACCUCAAUGACUCUGGGCCCAGAGACCACAUGGAACUCUACAACCAAGGUGUGGGACAUGAUGGCAUCUGUGAUGGGGCCCUGAACUGGGAGGGAAGACGGCCACCCCUCCUCUGAAGGGGGCGCACCCAUGGGCUCGCGGCGCAGCUGCUUGGCACAGGUCAUCACCACAAGGGUCUUGGCGGCAGAUGGAUGAAUUCAUGUCUGCCCCAAGUUUGAGAGCAGGGGUAGCAGCCCAGGGUAGGGGAUAGAGAAGAGGAGGGGAUGGUGUGACCAAGCCACCGCCCAGUUUGAGACCUCACCCACAGUUUCUCCCAUCAUUUGGGAAAGGGGCAAGAUGUAACACCAGUGGUAAGGGGGAAUGGAGGGAGUUGGGGAAGGGGAAAGGCCAACCUGUCCUCCUGGCUAGGAUGGGUGCAGGGCA